Molecule: ribosomal RNA, 463 nt
Filed under: uncultured bacterium
Lineage: Bacteria
Description: bacterial SSU rRNA
Rfam family: Bacterial small subunit ribosomal RNA
Source: RNAcentral
AACGAACGCUGGCGGCAGGCUUAACACAUGCAAGUCGAACGGACGUAGCAAUACGUUAGUGGCGCACGGGAGAGUAACACGUGGGAACCUACCUUUUAGUUCGGAAUAACGUCGGGAAACUGACGCUAAUACCGGAUACGCCCCAAGGGGGAAAGAUUUAUCGCUAAAAAGAUGGGCCCGCGCUAGAUUAGCUAGUUGGUAAGGUAAUGGCUUACCAAGGCUACGAUCUAUAGCUGGUCUGAGAGGAUGACCAGCCUCACUGGGACUGAGACACGGCCCAGACUCCUACGGGAGGCAGCAGUGGGGAAUAUUGGACAAUGGGGGCAACCCUGAUCCAGCCAUGCCGCGUGAAUGAUGAAGGCCUUCGGGUUGUAAAGUUCUUUUGGAGGGGACGAUGAUGACGGUACCCUCAGAAUAAGCUCCGGCUAACUUCGUGCCAGCAACCGCGGUAAUCUGUAGUCGU